This 253-nucleotide ribosomal RNA is filed under the name uncultured bacterium. Its description in RNAcentral is "partial 16S ribosomal RNA". It matches the Rfam family "Bacterial small subunit ribosomal RNA", at positions 524 to 776 of the family's 1533-position model. The record is from RNAcentral.
GACAGAGGGUGCGAACGUUGUUCGGAAUUACUGGGCGUAAAGCGCGUGUAGGCGGCAGCGUGUGUCGGGCGUGAAAUCCCAUGGCUUAACCAUGGAAGUGCACCAGAAACUGCGCAGCUAGAGUCCUGGAGAGGAAGAUGGAAUACUUGGUGUAGAGGUGAAAUUCGUAGAUAUCAAGUGGAACACCGGUGGCGAAGGCGGUCUUCUGGACAGUGACUGACGCUGAGACGCGAAAGCGUGGGGAGCAAACAGG